GAGUCUCACAGUAUACCAACACAUCUCAGAGUCAGAGACACGUUUCAAUACCACUGACAACAUGCUCGAUUUCCUUUGACAACCAAAACCUAUUGACAUUUUCCUAUACUGUCCAUUAACAGUGCGAGCCUGGAUGCUAGGCUGUUUCUGCUUUAGCUAGCUUGUCUUGUGUUUCCUAAACUGCCUAGAAUCCAAGAGGGUGUUAUAUUUCUCAAUACAACCCCUUGAGCUUUCUUUCUUUCUUUCUUUCUUUCUUUCUUUCUGUUGUGAGCAUUGGAUUCAGUUCACCAACUAUAGUAGAUGUUUUUUUCUUGAUUUGCUCAAGUUAUUAUGUGCCUUGCUAGGAUUUGCGUCUGUCUGGGUAUCAGAGUGACUCUGGUCAAUGUUGUUUUUCCUCUGUAGCUUUGGGAUGGUUUUAUCACUAUGAAGGGAAGCACACUCCGCAAGGUAUUCUGUACGGUCGCAGUUUGGUGUGCUGUGAGUGUGUUCUCUCGAAGCUAACACAUAUACACUGCCUUCAGAAAGUAUGCAUACUCCUUGACUUACUCCACAUUUAGUAGUGUUACGACCUGAAUUCAAAAUGGAUUACAUUUAUGUUUUUCUCACCCAUCUACACACACUACCCCAUAAUGACAAAGGGAAAAAGUUUGUUGAAAUUUUAGCAAAUUUAUUAGAAACUAAAUAAAUGAGUAUUCACUCCCCCGAGUCAAUACUUUGUAGAAGCACCUUUGGCAGAGAUUACAGCUGUGAGUCUUUCUUUGUUAGUCACUCUGGGCUCCAAAGUGGCACAGCAGUCUAAGGCACUGCAUCUCAGUGAAAGAGGCGUUACUAUAGUACCUGGUUCGAGUCCAGGCUGUAUCACAGCUGAGUGUGAUUGGGAGUCCCAUAGGGCGGCACACAAUUGGCCCAGCAUUGUCCGGGUUUGGCCGGAGUAGGCCGUCAUUGUAAAUAAGAAUUUGUUCUUAACUGACUUGCCUACUUAAAUAAAGGAUUAAAAACAUACAAAUAAGAGCUUUUAACAACUGGAUUGUACAAUAUUUGCACGUUAGUCUUGCCAGAAAUUUUCAAGCCGAUUUUAGUCAAAACUGUAACUUGGCCACUCAAACGGCUCUCCUGUGAAGUCGUGACUUGCGACAUACGCCUAGUUUCCUGAAUCGGGUCACAUUUGUAAAAAAUGUCUAAAAACAUAAUUCCCCUUUGACAUUGUAGAGUAUUGUGUGUAGGCCAGUGACACAAAAUCAAUUUUAAAUUCAGGCUUUAACACAACAAAAUGUGGAAAAAGUCAAGGGGUUUGAAUACUUUCUGAAUGCACUGUAGUUAACUUGACUUCUUUACUGGUCCUGUCACCACAAUGCUGCGGUAGUUAUUAACCUAUAUUGUGAUGGCCGUCAGUCUCUGUUGGAAGUUGGAAAACGUUCUUGUACUGUAUCGUUUUUUGCAUAAUUUGUCGUUUGUCGUGGAAUCAUCGGUUCUGGUUUCUCCCUGCUUUCUAUAAUUCUAAACUUUACUGAAGAAGAAGAAGGUGUCCAACAUUGACACCUUGCAGGAACAGAGGAAGAACAAGAAAUAUAUGGAGUUUGAGCUGAAGCUGGCUGCAGAGAAGGAGGAAAUAUAUGAACGAGAGAAACAGCUGAAGAUCAGUAGACUGGUGGAGGAGGUGUCAGAGACUGAGCAGGAGGAUCUGGAGGAGUCAGAGAAGGUGCAGCACUGGGUGGAACGUCUCUGUCAGACACAGCUGGAACAAAUUUCCUGUGUAGAGAACGAGUCCCCAAAGUGAUAGCCUCUGGGCCCAUGGUGAGGCAUUUCUACGGGGGUCUCCAGCUGGCCACCACUGACCUGGAUGAUUUCAACAUGGAUGAGACCAGAGUCUGAAAGGGCCCCUGAAGAGACUGGCCCCCACCCAGCCUUCUUCCUCCCAGCCCCCACCAGCCCUACCUCUCCCUCCACUUUCCCCCAGACUCAA
Long non-coding RNA from Oncorhynchus keta (chum salmon), 1963 nucleotides. RefSeq lists it as uncharacterized. Lineage: Eukaryota; Metazoa; Chordata; Actinopteri; Salmoniformes; Salmonidae. The transcript is spliced from 3 exons. The record is from RefSeq and is a predicted model, not a curated record.